GACAGAGGGUGCAAACGUUGUUCGGAAUUACUGGGCGUAAAGCGCGUGUAGGCGGCAGGGCAUGUCGGAUGUGAAAUCCCGUGGCUCAACCACGGAAGUGCACCCGAAACUGCCCAGCUUGAGUCUCGGAGAGGAAGGCGGAAUGCUUGGUGUAGAGGUGAAAUUCGUAGAUAUCAAGCGGAACACCGGUGGCGAAGGCGGCCUUCUGGACGAUGACUGACGCUGAGUGAGCGAAAGCCAGGGGAGCAAACGGG
RNAcentral lists this ribosomal RNA (254 nucleotides) under uncultured bacterium. Its description in RNAcentral is "partial 16S ribosomal RNA". It matches the Rfam family "Bacterial small subunit ribosomal RNA", at positions 524 to 776 of the family's 1533-position model. The record is from RNAcentral.